Molecule: small RNA, 99 nt
Filed under: Leptospira meyeri
Lineage: Bacteria; Pseudomonadati; Spirochaetota; Leptospiria; Leptospirales; Leptospiraceae
Description: Flavo-1 RNA
Rfam family: Flavo-1 RNA
Source: RNAcentral
CUCGCGCCAGCGAUAGAAGCGGAAAUCCUUUCCGGGAAUCGGUAUAUUUUGAAUAAGGAACAGAUUUUGGAAAGAUUGGAGCGGAUAGCGCGGUCGUUA